AAGUCCAGUAGUGCGAGGCACGUCGGUCUGCAAACCCGAAUACGCCACUUUAUUGUGGCCCGGACU
Molecule: transfer RNA, 66 nt
Filed under: Hoplodactylus sp. Mt. Arthur Anatoki
Lineage: Eukaryota; Metazoa; Chordata; Lepidosauria; Squamata; Diplodactylidae
Description: tRNA-Cys
Source: RNAcentral